UACGGGGGAUGCAAGCGUUAUCCGGAUUUAUUGGGUUUAAAGGGUGCGUAGGCGGGAUGCCAGGUCAGCGGUAAAAAUGCGGUGCUCAACGCCGUCGAGCCGUUGAAACUGGCGUUCUUGAGUGGGCGAGAAGUAUGCGGAAUGCGUGGUGUAGCGGUGAAAUGCAUAGAUAUCACGCAGAACUCCGAUUGCGAAGGCAGCAUACCGGCGCCCUACUGACGCUGAGGCACGAAAGCGUGGGUAUCGAACAGG
This 252-nucleotide ribosomal RNA is filed under the name uncultured bacterium. RNAcentral's name for it is "partial 16S ribosomal RNA". It matches the Rfam family "Bacterial small subunit ribosomal RNA", at positions 524 to 776 of the family's 1533-position model. The record is from RNAcentral.